RNAcentral lists this small nuclear RNA (188 nucleotides) under Merops nubicus (carmine bee-eater). RNAcentral's name for it is "U2 spliceosomal RNA". It matches the Rfam family "U2 spliceosomal RNA". From Rfam's summary of the family: U2 is a small nuclear RNA (snRNA) component of the spliceosome (involved in pre-mRNA splicing). Complementary binding between U2 snRNA (in an area lying towards the 5' end but 3' to hairpin I) and the branchpoint sequence (BPS) of the intron results the bulging out of an unpaired adenosine, on the BPS, which initiates a nucleophilic attack at the intronic 5' splice site, thus starting the first of two transesterification reactions that mediate splicing. The record is from Rfam by way of RNAcentral. Lineage: Eukaryota; Metazoa; Chordata; Aves; Coraciiformes; Meropidae.
AUUCUGUCUCUGAUCUUUGUCUAACAUCAAGUUUGACAUCUGUUCUUAUCAGUUAAAUAUCUUUUGCAUCCUUGACUUGAAGAUGUCGUGUUAAAGAGAUUUUUAGGACCAAAAGGCAGGUUGGAACUUUUUCUGUCUAUCCUAUGCCUCUGCCUGUCAUUGCAGUAUCUGCAGAAGCAGCACACCAA